ACCAGAGUCGGGAUAACACCUGGAAACAGAUGCUAAUACCGGAUAACAACAGAUGAUGCCUAUCAACUGUUUAAAAGAUGGUUCUGCUAUCACUCUUGGAUGGACCUGCGGUGCAUUAGCUAGUUGGUAGGGUAACGGCCUACCAAGGCGAUGAUGCAUAGCCGAGUUGAGAGACUGAUCGGCCACAUUGGGACUGAGACACGGCCCAAACUCCUACGGGAGGCAGCAGU
This 230-nucleotide ribosomal RNA is filed under the name uncultured Lactobacillus sp. RNAcentral describes it as "partial 16S ribosomal RNA". It matches the Rfam family "Bacterial small subunit ribosomal RNA", at positions 129 to 355 of the family's 1533-position model. The record is from RNAcentral. Lineage: Bacteria; Bacillati; Bacillota; Bacilli; Lactobacillales; Lactobacillaceae.